AGUAACACGUGGGCAACCUGCCUGUAAGACUGGGAUAACUCCGGGAAACCGGGGCUAAUACCGGAUAAUUCUUUCCCUCACAUGAGGGAAAGCUGAAAGAUUGGUUUCGGCUAUCACUUACAGAUGGGCCCGCGGCGCAUUAGCUAGUUGGUGAGGUAACGGCUCACCAAGGCAACGAUGCGUAGGGGAAAAAGAGGGUGAUCGGCCACACUGGGACUGAGACACGGCCCAGACUCCUACGGGAGGCAGCAGUAGGGAAUCUUCCGCAAUGGACGAAAGUCUGCGGACACGCCGCGUGAGUGAGGGUUUUCGGAUCGUAAAACUCUGUGUUAGGGAAGAACAAUACCGGAGAACGCCGGACUUGACGUCCUUCCCC
RNAcentral lists this ribosomal RNA (376 nucleotides) under Cytobacillus firmus. RNAcentral's name for it is "bacterial SSU rRNA". It matches the Rfam family "Bacterial small subunit ribosomal RNA", at positions 109 to 481 of the family's 1533-position model. The record is from RNAcentral. Lineage: Bacteria; Bacillati; Bacillota; Bacilli; Caryophanales; Bacillaceae.